CAGCCGCCGCGGUAAUACGUAGGUGGCAAGCGUUGCCCGGAAUUAUUGGGCGUAAAGGGCUCGCAGGCGGUUUCUUAAGUCUGAUGUGAAAGCCCCCGGCUCAACCGGGGAGGGUCAUUGGAAACUGGGAAACUUGAGUGCAGAAGAGGAGAGUGGAAUUCCACGUGUAGCGGUGAAAUGCGUAGAGAUGUGGAGGAACACCAGUGGCGAAGGCGACUCUCUGGUCUGUAACUGACGCUGAGGAGCGAAAGCGUGGGGAGCGAACAGGAUUAGAUACCCCGGUAGUCCCUGUCUCUUAUAC
This 301-nucleotide ribosomal RNA is filed under the name uncultured bacterium. RNAcentral's name for it is "partial 16S ribosomal RNA". It matches the Rfam family "Bacterial small subunit ribosomal RNA", at positions 509 to 807 of the family's 1533-position model. The record is from RNAcentral.